CAGGCCUAACACAUGCAAGUCGAGCGGAUGACGGGGGCUUGCUCCUUGAUUCAGCGGCGGACGGGUGAGCAAUGCCUAGGAAUCUGCCUGGUAGUGGGGGACAACGUUUCGAAAGGAACGCUAAUACCGCAUACGUCCUACGGGAGAAAGCAGGGGACCUUCGGGCCUCUUGCCAUCAGAUGUGCCCAGAUGGGAUUAGCUAGUAGGUGGGGUAACGGCUCACCUAGGCGACGAUCCCUAGCUGGUCUGAGAGGAUGACCAGCCACACUGGAACUGAGACACGGUCCAGACUCCUACGGGAGGCAGCAGUGGGGAAUAUUGCACAAUGGGCGCAAGCCUGAUGCAGCCAUGCCGCGUGUAUGAAGAAGGCCUUCGGGUUGUAAAGUACUUUCAGCGGGGAGGAAGGCGUUGAGGUUAAUAACCUCAGCGAUUGACGUUACCCGCAGAAGAAGCA
RNAcentral lists this ribosomal RNA (454 nucleotides) under uncultured Enterobacter sp. RNAcentral's name for it is "bacterial SSU rRNA". It matches the Rfam family "Bacterial small subunit ribosomal RNA", at positions 43 to 492 of the family's 1533-position model. The record is from RNAcentral. Lineage: Bacteria; Pseudomonadati; Pseudomonadota; Gammaproteobacteria; Enterobacterales; Enterobacteriaceae.